This 568-nucleotide ribosomal RNA is filed under the name uncultured bacterium. Its description in RNAcentral is "partial 16S ribosomal RNA". It matches the Rfam family "Bacterial small subunit ribosomal RNA", at positions 355 to 1375 of the family's 1533-position model. The record is from RNAcentral.
UGGGGAAUAUUGCACAAUGGGCGCAAGCCUGAUGCAGCGACGCCGCGUGAGGGAUGACGGCCUUCGGGUUGUAAACCUCUUUCACCAGGGACGAAGCGCAAGUGACGGUGCCUGGAGAAGAAGCACCGGCCAACUACGUGCCAGCAGCCGCGGUAAUACGUAGGGUGCGAGCGUUGUCCGGAAUUACUGGGCGUAAAGAGCUCGUAGGUGGUUUGUCGCGUUGUUCGUGAAAACUCACAACUCAAUUGUGGGCGUGCGGGCGAUACGGGCAGACUAGAGUACUGCAGGGGAGACUGGAAUUCCUGGUGUAGCGGUGGAAUGCGCAGAUAUCAGGAGGAACACCGGUGGCGAAGGCGGGUCUCUGGGCAGUAACUGACGCUGAGGAGCGAAAGCGUGGGGAGCGAACAGGAUUAGAUACCCUGGUAGUCCACGCCGUAAACGGUGGGUACUAGGUGUGGGUUCCUUCCUUGGGGAUCCGUGCCGUAGCUAACGCAUUAAGUACCCCGCCUGGGGAGUACGGCCGCAAGGCUAAAACUCAAAGGAAUUGACGGGGUCAUAGCUGUUUCCU